CCUACGGGGUGCAGCAGUGGGGAAUAUUGGGCAAUGGGCGCAAGCCUGACCCAGCAACGCCGCGUGAAGGAAGAAGGCUUUCGGGUUGUAAACUUCUUUUGUCAGGGAAGAGUAGAAGACGGUACCUGACGAAUAAGCCACGACUAACUACGUGCCAGCAGCCGCGGUAAUACGUAGGUGGCAAGCGUUGUCCGGAUUUACUGGGUGUAAAGGGCGUGUAGCCGGGUUGACAAGUCAGAUGUUAAAUCCUGCGGCUUAACCGCAGAACUGCAUUUGAAACUGUUGAUCUUGAGUACUGGAGAGGCAGACGGAAUUCCUAGUGUAGCGGUGAAAUGCGUAGAUAUUAGGAGGAACACCAGUGGCGAAGGCGGUCUGCUGGACAGCAACUGACGGUGAGGCGCGAAAGCGUGGGGAGCAAACAGGAUUAGAUACCCGAGUAGUC
Molecule: ribosomal RNA, 442 nt
Filed under: uncultured bacterium
Lineage: Bacteria
Description: partial 16S ribosomal RNA
Rfam family: Bacterial small subunit ribosomal RNA
Source: RNAcentral